RNAcentral lists this ribosomal RNA (494 nucleotides) under uncultured bacterium. Its description in RNAcentral is "partial 16S ribosomal RNA". It matches the Rfam family "Bacterial small subunit ribosomal RNA", at positions 28 to 507 of the family's 1533-position model. The record is from RNAcentral.
GACGAACGCUGGCGGCGUGCUUAACACAUGCAAGUCGAACGGAAAGGCCUGCUUUCCCUUGUGGAUUGCGGGUACUCGAGUGGCGAACGGGUGAGUAACACGUGAGUGAUCUGCCCCCAACUUGGGUAUAAGCCUGGGAAACUGGGUCUAAUUCCCGAUAGGACUGCAGGGUGGUGCCUGUGGUGGAAAACGAUUUUCUAGUGGUUGGGGAUGAGCUCGCGGCCUAUCAGCUUGUUGGUGGGGUAAUGGCCUACCAAGGCGGCGACGGGUAGCCGGCCUGAGAGGGUGGACGGCCACAUUGGGACUGAGAUAAGGCCCAGACUCCUACGGGAGGCAGGAGUGGGGAAUAUUGCACAAUGGGCGGAAGCCUGAUGCAGCGACGCCGCGUGGGGGAUGACGGCCUUCGGGUUGUAAACUCCUUUCGACCGAGAGGAAGCCACCUGGUUGGAAGGGUGGUGACGGUAGUGGUAGAAGAAGCACCGGCUAACUACGUG